Molecule: long non-coding RNA, 432 nt
Filed under: Canis lupus familiaris (dog)
Lineage: Eukaryota; Metazoa; Chordata; Mammalia; Carnivora; Canidae
Description: lncRNA (ENSCAFG00040023742.1)
Source: RNAcentral
CACCAAUGUUUAACAAUUUUAAUGAACUUUAAAAAAGUGUCAUAUUUUCACUGUGAAUCAUUUCACAUUAAAAUCUGUGGUUUUCCUGCCAGAAUUAUCUUUAGGGAAAGCUAUGUACUUUCAGCCAGAUUUGGAGCACAGGGAAUGUGAGUGAACUGGAAGCAGAUCCCACAAGAAACUCAGGUGUCACAGGGGGGAUUUCCUGAGCAUCUGGGUCCUGGUUCUGUUAAUAUUCCCUGUGACAAUCUUAGCCACACUCCCCGACACACACACAUGACAGUGACUCAGUCAGCAUUUGAGCAUGGGUUAUUUAGGUCAGUGAAAUUUCUCUCUCACACAUUUCUGGCCUCUCCUAUUGAUCCAUGGCAUCCAUGCUGGGUUUUCAAGGAGAAGAACCAAAAGACACGAGGGGAGAGAGGAGGAACACCCUGA